AACGAACGCUGGUGGCGUGCUUAACACAUGCAAGUCGAACGAGAAAGUUUCCUUCGGGAAAUUAGUAAAGUGGCGCAAGGGUGAGUAUCACGUGAAUAAUCUGCCCUCGAGAUCGGGAUAACAUGGCGAAAACUAUGCUAAUACCGUAUAAGACCACAUUUCAUAAGAAAUGCGGUAAAAGGAGUCUCAAUCUUCACUUGAGGAUGAGUUCGCGCAACAUUAGCUUGUUGGUGGGAUAAAAGCUCACCAAGGCUACGAUGUUUAGCCGGCCUGAGAGGGUGAACGGCCACACUGGAACUGAGACACGGUCCAGACUUCUACGGAAGGCAGCAGUAAGGAAUAUUGGGCAAUGGGCGAAAGCCUGACCCAGCCAUGCCGCGUGCAGGAUG
RNAcentral lists this ribosomal RNA (389 nucleotides) under uncultured Nitrospina sp. Its description in RNAcentral is "bacterial SSU rRNA". It matches the Rfam family "Bacterial small subunit ribosomal RNA", at positions 29 to 410 of the family's 1533-position model. Lineage: Bacteria; Pseudomonadati; Nitrospinota; Nitrospinia; Nitrospinales; Nitrospinaceae. The record is from RNAcentral.